AACGAACGCUGGCGGCAUGCCUAACACAUGCAAGUCGAACGAGACCUUCGGGUCUAGUGGCGCACGGGUGCGUAACGCGUGGGAACCUGCCCUUAGGUUCGGAAUAACUCCCCGAAAGGGGUGCUAAUACCGGAUAAUGUCUUCGGACCAAAGAUUUAUCGCCUUUGGAUGGGCCCGCGUUGGAUUAGCUAGUUGGUAGGGUAAAAGCCUACCAAGGCGACGAUCCAUAGCUGGUCUGAGAGGAUGAUCAGCCACACUGGGACUGAGACACGGCCCAGACUCCUACGGGAGGCAGCAGUGGGGAAUAUUGGACGAUGGGCGAAAGCCUGAUCCAGCAAUGCCGCGUGAGUGAUGAAGGCCUUAGGGUUGCAAAGCUCUUUUACCCGGGAUGAUAAUGACAGUACCGGGAGAAUAAGCUCCGGCUAACUCCGUG
RNAcentral lists this ribosomal RNA (433 nucleotides) under uncultured bacterium. Its description in RNAcentral is "partial 16S ribosomal RNA". It matches the Rfam family "Bacterial small subunit ribosomal RNA", at positions 29 to 507 of the family's 1533-position model. The record is from RNAcentral.